GUGAGGAAUUUUCCGCAAUGGGCGAAAGCCUGACGGAGCAAUGCCGCGUGAAGGAUGAAGGCCUAUGGGUUGUAAACUUCUUUUCUCAGAAAAGAAUUAUGACGGUAUCUGAGGAAUAAGCAUCGGCUAACUCUGUGCCAGCAGCCGCGGUAAGACAGAGGAUGCAAGCGUUAUCCGGAAUGAUUGGGCGUAAAGCGUCUGUAGGUUGUUUAAAAAGUAUUCUGUCAAAGAUUAGGGCUUAACCCUAGAUAGACAGAAUAAACUUUUAAGCUAGAGUUUGGUAGAGGCAGAGGGAAUUCCCGGUGGAGCGGUGAAAUGCGUAGAUAUCGGGAGGAACACCAAAGGCGAAGGCACUCUGCUGGGCCAAUACUAACACUGAGAGACGAAAGCGAGGGGAGCAAAUGGGAUUAGAAACCCGUGUAGUCC
Molecule: ribosomal RNA, 426 nt
Filed under: uncultured bacterium
Lineage: Bacteria
Description: partial 16S ribosomal RNA
Rfam family: Bacterial small subunit ribosomal RNA
Source: RNAcentral